CCAUCAUUCAGUUGGGCGACUUUAGAGAGACUGCCGGUGGUUAAGCCGGAGGAAGGUGGGGAUGACGUCAAGUCCUCAUGGCCUUUAUGUCUAGGGCUACACACGUGCUACAAUGGGUGGUACAAAGAGCAGCUAACUCGCGAGAGUAUGCAAAUCUCAAAAAGCCAUCCUCAGUUCGGAUUGGAGUCUGCAACUCGACUCCAUGAAGUUGGAAUCGCUAGUAAUCGCGGAUCAGCAUGCCGCGGUGAAUACGUUCCCGGGCCUU
Molecule: ribosomal RNA, 265 nt
Filed under: uncultured Smithella sp.
Lineage: Bacteria; Pseudomonadati; Thermodesulfobacteriota; Syntrophia; Syntrophales; Smithellaceae
Description: partial 16S ribosomal RNA
Rfam family: Bacterial small subunit ribosomal RNA
Source: RNAcentral